This 253-nucleotide ribosomal RNA is filed under the name uncultured bacterium. RNAcentral describes it as "partial 16S ribosomal RNA". It matches the Rfam family "Bacterial small subunit ribosomal RNA", at positions 524 to 776 of the family's 1533-position model. The record is from RNAcentral.
UACAGAGGGGGCAAGCGUUGUUCGGAAUUACUGGGCGUAAAGGGCGCGUAGGCGGCCUGUUAAGUCGAACGUGAAAUCCCCGGGCUCAACCCGGGAACUGCGUCCGAUACUGGCAGGCUUGAAUCCGGGAGAGGGAUGUGGAAUUCCAGGUGUAGCGGUGAAAUGCGUAGAUAUCUGGAGGAACACCGGUGGCGAAGGCGGCAUCCUGGACCGGUAUUGACGCUGAGGCGCGAAAGCCAGGGGAGCAAGCGGG